UGCAAUGACCGGCGAUGACCUGUGGAUAGCGGUGAAAUUCCAAUCGAACCCGGAGAUAGCUGGUUCUCCCCGAAAUAGCUUUAGGGCUAGCGUCGAGGUAAGUUGCGUGAAGGUAGAGCACUGAAUAUGUGAUGGCCCCAUCUCGGGGUACUGAGCAUAAUCAAACUGCGAAUGUCACGCCAACAUGCUCGGCAGUCAGACAGCGGGUGAUAAGGUCCGUUGUCAAGAGGGAAACAGCCCAGACCAUCAGCUAAGGUCCCAAAAUGUAUGCUAAGUGGAAAAGGAUGUGGAGAUGUACAGACAACUAGGAGGUUGGCUCAGAAGCAGCCAUCCUUUAAAGAGUGCGUAACAGCUCACUAGUCGAAUGACUCUGCGCCGAUAAUUUACCGGGGCUAAGCAUACUACCGAAGCUAUGGAUCCCAAGGGAUGGUAGGGGAGCGUUCCAUGAACGGAGAAGUACGACCGAAAGGACGUGUGGAGAUCAUGGAAGAGAGAAUGCCGGUGUGAGUAGCGGAACGUGGGUGAGAAUCCCACGCACCGAAAACCCAAGGUUUCCAGAGGAAGGUUCGUCCGCUCUGGGUAAGUCGGGACCUAAGGCGAGGCCGAAAGGCGUAGUCGAUGGACAACAGGUAGAGAUUCCUGUACCCGUAUAUAUGUGAAGGAAUGACGGAGAGAGGAAGCUGCAGCCAGCGGCUGGAAGAGCUGGUGCAAGCGAGAUAUCGGGAUGGCAGGCAAAUCCACCAUCCGAAACGAGAAGGCGUGAAGCGUACGGAAAGCUACGGCGAGUACGGAAGGCAGUGGAGGAACUUCCAAGAAAAGUUUCUAACGUUAAGUAUAUAUGGCCCGUACCGAAAAUGGACACACAUGGGUGAGGAGAGAAUCCUAAGGUGAGCGAGAGAACUAUAGCUAAGGAACUCUGCAAAAUGACUCCGUAACUUAGGGAGAAGGAGUGCUCAUAGAGAUAUGAGCCGCAGUGAAACGGCCCAAGCGACUGUUUACCAAAAACACAGCUCUCUGCUAAGCCGCAAGGCGAAGUAUAGGGGGUGACGCCUGCCCGGUGCUGGAAGGUUAAGGGGAGGGGUUAACGCAAGUGAAGCCCUGAACUGAAGCCCCAGUAAACGGCGGCCGUAACUAUAACGGUCCUAAGGUAGCGAAAUUCCUUGUCAGGUAAGUUCUGACCCGCACGAAAGGCGUAACGAUUUGGGCGCUGUCUCAGCUGUAGACUCGGUGAAGUCUUAGUACCUGUGAAGAUGCAGGUUACCCGCGACUAGACGGAAAGACCCCAUGGAGCUUCACUGCAGGUUGAUAUUGGGAUUUGAUGCAGCAUGUACAGGAUAGGUAGGAGGCAAAGAGAUGGAUACGCCAGUAUUCAAGGAGCCGCUGUUGGGAUACUACCCCUGUUGUAUUGGAUUUCUAACCGGACGACGUAGAGCCGUUGACGGGACAGUGUCAGUCGGGCAGUUUGACUGGGGCGGUCGCCUCCCAAAGAGUAACGGAGGCGCCCAAAGAUACCCUCAGCUUGGAUGGAAACCAAGCGCAGAGUGCAAAGGCAAAAGGGUGUUUGACUGCGAGACCCACAAGUCGAGCAGGGACGAAAGUCGGGCUUAGUGAUCCGGCGGUGCUGAAUGGAAAGGCCGUCGCUCAACGGAUAAAAGCUACCCUGGGGAUAACAGGCUGAUCUCCCCCAA
RNAcentral lists this ribosomal RNA (1688 nucleotides) under human gut metagenome. RNAcentral's name for it is "bacterial LSU rRNA". It matches the Rfam family "Bacterial large subunit ribosomal RNA", at positions 790 to 2495 of the family's 2925-position model. The record is from RNAcentral.